UACGGGGGGGGGCAAGCGUUGUUCGGAAUUACUGGGCGUAAAGGGCUCGUAGGCGGCCAUCUUAGUCGGACGUGAAAUCCCUCGGCUCAACCGAGGAACUGCGUCCGAUACUGGAUGGCUCGAAUCCGGGAGAGGGAUGCGGAAUUCCAGGUGUAGCGGUGAAAUGCGUAGAUAUCUGGAGGAACACCGGUGGCGAAGGCGGCAUCCUGGACCGGCAUUGACGCUGAGGAGCGAAAGCCAGGGGA
This 245-nucleotide ribosomal RNA is filed under the name uncultured bacterium. Its description in RNAcentral is "partial 16S ribosomal RNA". It matches the Rfam family "Bacterial small subunit ribosomal RNA", at positions 524 to 767 of the family's 1533-position model. The record is from RNAcentral.